This is a small nucleolar RNA of Alosa alosa (allis shad), 65 nucleotides long. RefSeq annotates it as small nucleolar RNA SNORD42. The transcript has a single exon. The record is from RefSeq and is a predicted model, not a curated record. Lineage: Eukaryota; Metazoa; Chordata; Actinopteri; Clupeiformes; Clupeidae.
GUGCAUAUGAUGUGAAGUUUAUAUUAACUGAAUACUUGAAGAAUUCAAAGGAACCACUGAUGCGA